Molecule: long non-coding RNA, 337 nt
Organism: Morone saxatilis (striped sea-bass)
Lineage: Eukaryota; Metazoa; Chordata; Actinopteri; Moronidae
Exons: 4
Source: RefSeq, a predicted model, not a curated record
GAGCCCCCUGGCUGCGUACCUCCUGCACAGUCCCUGCUAGCUCCACAUAUCCAACAGUCUUAAUGAUCAUAUGAUGGCAGGUUAAAGUCCUUCUGAGAACCAUGAGAUCGUUUCUCCAGCUGAAUUCCUGACAUUUUCUGAAGGAUUUAAGUACUCGUGAGCUAUCAGGACAAGAACGAGGCAGGUGGUCUUCUCAGUGAGGUCAUCCUGUCUGAAACAUAAGGAGAGGGGUCCUCGGAGGGGGGCCAUCCUUAUGCCCAGGCGUCAACACCAAACAAUGCAGAGCCUGCUGUGUAAGACCAGAGUGAGAUAAAUGUGAUCUAUCAACCAAUGAAUG